AUGCGCCAUUUGAUCCUCCUACUACUAGCCAUCUUCUUUGCUCCAACAUCCUCCACCAUAUCUUCUCCUAACCAACAGGCACAGGCAGCCUUCCUCGUCACCUCAUGGCUGAACAACACGGCUACACGUCCAACGGACUGGUUGCUCGGGUUGGCCUCACCAUGCGGGUGGUCCCACAUCAGCUGCGAUGCUGCAAGUGGCACCACAGUGGUGUCCAUCAUAUUCAGUGAUAUCCAACUAGGUGUGGUCCUCCCGCGUGGCCUAUGCGCCGCACUACCGCAGCUGAGCACCUUUAUUGUCACCGGUGCCGGCCUGACUGGUUUCAUCCCCGACGACCUAUCCCGGUGCAGCCACCUCACUGUGCUUGACAUGAGCAACAACUCGCUGUCUGGCUCUAUCCCGUCGUCGCUCGGCAACCUUGCACCAUCGCUCAAACAACUUCACUUGUUUAGUAAUCUUCUCUCCGGUGAGCUGCCGGUCUCACUUAGCGAGCUGUGGCUAGUUGAGUCACUGCGCAUAGGUGACAACCCGGAGCUGAGCGGGCAAAUACCGGAAUCUUUCUCAAAACUCCGCAAUGUUAUCACACUCGGCAUGGCACAGACAAACAUUUCUGGUUCCAUCCCUGCCUCGCUAGGGCAGCUUUGCAGGAUACAAACACUACGCCUACAGGUAGCAAGGCUUUCUGGGUCCAUCCCACCAGAGCUAGGGAACUGUUCAAAUCUCAUCGACAUCCACCUAUAUGAAAACUCACUAUCGGGCCCACUCCCGGCAGCAUUGGGCAUGCUUCCACGAUUGCAUUUUCUUUACCUUUCUGAUAACUUCCACACGGGGCCCAUCCCAAAAUCAUUCGGGAACCUGACCACGUUACUGGAGCUAGACCUAGGUGAUAACUGCCUUUCCGGUGUUGGACCGGUAUUCCUUGGUAGGUUAUUAGCUCUACGAUGGUUGGACCUGAGUAUCAACAAUCUAACUGGCUCAAUCCCUCCUGAAAUUGGCCGACUCACCAGUUUGACUUAUCUGAUGAUGUGCCAAAACCAGCUCAGUGGAACUAUCCCAGCAUCACUAACUUCGCUCAUCACCCUUGAGUUUCUCGACCUCUCAAUGAAUCUUCUCACCGGCGUCGUACCCCCAAUGUUAUUCCAUCUACCAAACUUAACUUCGCUAUUGCUCAGAUCAAAUGAUUUAUCAGGACCACUGCCACAUGACAUCAGCAGGGCAAGAAACCUCACGUAUCUUCACCUUGGUGGCAAUCGUAUUGCUGGGUCCAUACCUCCAGCGGUCGCUGGAAUGAAGAGUAUAAAAUACCUCAUCCUCAGCAACAACCGGCUUACUGGACCUAUGCCUGCUAAACUGGGAAGCUGCUUGCAGCUGCAGAUGAUCGUUCUUAGUAACAACAUGUUGAGUGGGACUCUGCCAACUUCACUGGUUGGUUUGAGAGAUCUUCAACAGCUCGAUAUCUCACAUAACCAAUUCACAGGCCAUGUGCCACAUAUGCUUUCUCAGCUCAAAGCCCUGAAAAGAUUGAUGCUCAGCGGAAACUCAUUCGUUGGCCCAAUACCGGCAUCUCUCGGACAAUGCACCAAUCUUGAACUCCUUGACCUUAGCGACAACAAGCUCUAUGGGCUUAUUCCUGAUGAGCUUUUUGACAUUGAUAAGCUCAACAUUGUGCUAAACUUGAGCGCUAACAAGCUCACCGGGCAAUUACCCGCAAAGAUGUCAGCCUUGAAGAAACUCAAUGUUCUCGACCUCUCACACAAUGCUCUCAAUGGCACCCUCGACCCUCUAGCUGGGAUGGCCAGCCUUGUGACACUAAAUGUGUCCAAUAAUAACUUCUCUGGGUACAUUCCUGAAACUAUUCUCUUUCAACAUAUUCCUAUAUCGUGCCUCAUCGGCAAUUCUGGGCUCUGCAACAAAGGAUGGAAUGUCUGUUCUGCCAAGGACACAGACGGCAGCCCGCAGACAAAGAAGAAUGCCAACCAAAAGCACAACAUUACCAUAAUAUUUGUGGUGAUUGCUGCAGUAUUGGCAGUACCAGGGAUUAUUGUGACACUUAGUGUGUGUGGAAGAGGAAAAUAUCGUGCUGGUGACAGUAUGGUGAGCCUGGAGUUGGCAAGUCUACCUAAGUUUGUGGCAUUUCAAAACUUGACCUUCUCCAUUGAGCAAUUGCUAAGCAAACUUGCCGAAUCAGACAAAAUAGGCCAAGGUGCUGCCGCUGAGGUCUAUCGUGUCAACAUCAGCAACAACAGAUCAGUCGCUGUCAAGAAACUUCGGCAAGGACAAGGGAAACCAAAUGAGGGAAACAACAACAUCCUCGGUCACCCCAUCCAAAACACAUUCUGGACAGAGGUACGCACAAUCGGUUCAAUCCGGCAUAAAAACAUUGUGCGGUUUCUAGGGUACUACUUCAGCAGUAGCGUCCAACUUCUCCUGUAUGAUUAUGUACCAAAUGGUAGCCUUGGCGGGUUGCUCCAUGAUGGCAGCAGUUUGCAACUAGAUUGGAAAAUUCGAUACCAAAUCUUGUUGGGUGUGUCACAUGGACUAACAUACCUUCAUCAUGACUGCACACCACCAAUCAUCCACCGCGACAUCAAGCCGAAUAACAUUCUAAUUGACCUUGACUUCAAAGCCUACAUUGCAGACUUUGGCAUCGCAAAGCUGUUCGACCCUAGAGCAUUGAUCCAUACAUGUGCUGGCACAUUUGGUUAUAUGGCUCCAGAAUACACUCACGGGACUGAGAUCAACGAGAAGAGUGAUGUCUACAGCUUUGGAGUGGUCAUGCUAGAAGUCCUGACAGGCAAGAAACCUAUUAUCUCAGUCGAAGAUGCCACCCACAUUGUUGAAUGGGUCCAGGAGCAGAAUGAUGUGAGGGAGGCACUUGACUCUAUCCUCCGGGGCCAGCCCAACUCAGAGAUCCAGGAGAUGCUGCAGGUGAUAGGAGUUGCUUUACUUUGCACUAGGCAUACCCCAAGUAGGCGUCCAACAAUGAAAGACGUCACCUGUAUGUUGGAGGAGAUCCACGGGCAAGGAGCACAUUAA
This 3036-nucleotide ribosomal RNA is filed under the name Triticum aestivum (bread wheat). Its description in RNAcentral is "partial small subunit ribosomal RNA". Lineage: Eukaryota; Viridiplantae; Streptophyta; Magnoliopsida; Poales; Poaceae. The record is from RNAcentral.